CGUACAUUGCGCCCGCUAGUAUUCUAGCAGGCAUGCCUGUUCGAGCGUCAUUUCAACCCUCAGGCUCAGCCUGGUGUUGGGGCACCUAUGCUAUAUAGGCCCUGAAAGUCAGUGGCAGGAUCGCCUGAAACCCAAGUGCAGUAAAUUUUAUCUCGCUUAUGGGGUUCAGCGUGCUUCUCGCCGUAAAACACCCACUGUUUUUCCACAGUUGACCUCGGAUCAGGUAGGAAUACCCGCUGAACUUAA
This 246-nucleotide unclassified non-coding RNA is filed under the name Campylospora parvula. RNAcentral's name for it is "partial contains 5.8S ribosomal RNA, internal transcribed spacer 2, and large subunit ribosomal RNA". The record is from RNAcentral. Lineage: Eukaryota; Fungi; Ascomycota; Sordariomycetes.